AACCAUUUUAGUUGACCUCCUGGGGGCAAAUAUCUGGAAUGGGGAGGUUCCCAGCACAUUUUAGAAUCUUUGAAGUCUCCGAGUUAAGGAAGCCUUGCUAUGUCAGAAGUUUGCUCCAACUUGAGGAAGGUGACAGGGGCAGAGCUGGCGUGCUCAUUCCUACAAUCCUUCCUCAUAUAGUUACUUGGAUGUAGAGCAGUGCUGUACUUAAUGAGAGUAUUAUAUGGUGGGUGAUUAGAUCUCAAGCACAGCUAACUAAAAUGGCAAAGGAACAUUUCAUUUGAAAGUCAGUGAUGGUUUUGCAUGUAUGGGCAACGUAGAGUUAGCAGCUCUUUAUUAAUGAUGUGUGUAAUUUGGGGUGGGGUGUUGUUUAUUUUUAUUGAUUUUUUUUUUAAAAAAUAAAAUUGAAAAGUAGCAGCCAUAUUUGUGCCCAGCGUUCCCAGCCUCCUCCAUCCCUAUCACAGGUGACCUCCCAUGACCUAUGUCACAAGGUGGUUGUGAGGUUAAAUGGGGAGAAGGAGAACCAUGUAUGCCACCAUGAGGACCUUAGUGGAAAAGUGGAAUAUAAAUGAAAUAAAGAAAGAAAGGUAAGCCCGCAGGUACAAUACAAAAGCAGCAAAGAACGUCCACUUUCCAGUGUCUCAUGUAUACAAUUAUAAAUGUGUAUGAAAUACAGUGGAACCUCUGUUGUCAAAUGUAAUCCGUUCUGGAAGACCGUUCGACUUCCGAAAUGUUCGACAACCGAGGCUCAAUCCCAUUGAGAAAACCGAGAAAUGUGCCCCAGAAGCCAUUCAGCUUCUGAUGCGCUCAAAAACCGAGGUUCCACUGUAUAUUGGGGGGGGGGUGUCAUCGCCUCCUACAUCAAUUAGAACGUGCAACAAGUAUAUGCUAUUUAACACCAAUGCUGCUCCACAAUAAAGGGUGGGGGAAGGGUGAAGUGGGUGAGUCCUCGGAAUGCAUGUACAUAAUGUGGGACAAUACUGACUUUUCUCCCCUUUUCCCACAGGUUUAUCUGAAGCUUCCACCUGUCCCAAUCUGCUAUGCCAUUCACUAAAGAGGUGAGAAACAGCAAUGUCUCUUGUGAGGUGGGUGGGUGGUUGGAGAGAUUAAAUGGUUAAAUAUCUGAAAUGUUUAACUGCAAGAGAAUGCAGUUCCACUCAGCUGCAUUUGUUGUGAAUUGUUUGAGUGACUUGGCCCACAGACUUAUUCCAUAUUAAUUUUAUACCUUGAGAUGUCCAUCAAAUGACUUAUUUACGUGCAUUACUUGAGGCACAGCAGCUGUCCCAGAAGUAAGAUAAAAAACUGCACACAGUGCAGUUUUGUUUUCUUGGCGUAAAAUACUGGUUCCUUUUAAUGUUUGUGUCCUGAUGUCUUGAGGAUGCCAGAGCAAUAUAAACUAACAAGGGGCAGCCCUGCCACAUUCUUUUAGCAUUUUCACGUCCUUCUAAAGCCCUGAACACAGACAUAAUUAUUUCCAAAUGCUUGUUAAGCAUCUUCUCAAUUUAGAACUCAUUCCAACUGCUGGGAAGUACUAUUAGUGGUAUAAGCCUGAUGGAUCUGUCCAGAUUUCACCCUCCCAGCAUGGAAGGGCUCCUGUCUGUGAGGCUUUUGAUAUAGCAGAGGGAUCUCACUGGUAGAAGGGAGGUGACUUGCCUGUUUCCAGUUCCCUCUGCAGCCUUCACACACUAAUCCAGAAGGUGUCUCCGUCUUUCAGAGUAGGUCUUUGGAGGCUGCAGGGGAAGGGGAAACUGGCAAAUGCCACCACUGUACUACAUUGUGUUCUGGCAGCAGGAGCAAAGUCUGGAACCAAGCCUACUCUUAAAACCUCACAUAUAAUUAAACUUGAAGCAGGCAAAGUUUUGACCUCCUUACUCUCUGCCCCUGCUAAUGCAACUAUUUCUGUCUGCUUACUGUUGUCUUGCUUUUUUCAUCUCGUUCAAACGUACAUGGAG
RNAcentral lists this long non-coding RNA (1952 nucleotides) under Podarcis lilfordi (Lilford's wall lizard). The record is from RNAcentral. Lineage: Eukaryota; Metazoa; Chordata; Lepidosauria; Squamata; Lacertidae.